GCUCAUUUAGGUUUGCAUUUGCAUCAACAUGCAAGUGACAAAGACAAUCAAUUAAAAGACCUUGUGAACCAAUUUAUUUUAUAAAUAAAUGGAACAAAAAUCUUUAUUGAAAUAAAUUUUAAAAUAUUUCUGUGCUAGCACAGACAUGAAAAUCAAAUUCUGACUAGCUAUAGAAAUAUAAUAAUAAUCUUUUAAAUCUAAUCUAACAUUAGAUGGUAAUCGA
RNAcentral lists this long non-coding RNA (223 nucleotides) under Elaeis guineensis (African oil palm). RNAcentral's name for it is "long non-coding RNA (EGUI_LNC059637)". The record is from RNAcentral. Lineage: Eukaryota; Viridiplantae; Streptophyta; Magnoliopsida; Arecales; Arecaceae.